AGAGAACUGUCAAUCUGUUGGAUUAUUUUCGGUUGUAAAUAGAAUGGCAAAGCAGAGUUUUUUGAAUCACACCAAAUACUGACAAAUUGUUUUGUUACACCAAGGCAAACACUAUGCAUAUAUUCUGGGACAAAAUGUUUGAUAAUUUCGAAAUUAGGAAGUAGCAGCAGUUGACUAGGUCCCUUAACCCCAUUAACAUCUGUGUCUGAUUGUAUUGCAGCAGAUGCCUGAUGGGUAGUCUGAUCAUGUGUUCUUAGUUGAGGAUACUCAGUAGAGUGAGGAUAUACACGUGUAAACCCUUUUCCCUUUGGUUCUAUUCCUCCCAUAUGCAGACAAAACCCACACCCAUAUCUGCCGUUAAAUUGUUUCAUGUCCUGUACCAUGGCACGGGCUGGCGCAUCACAUAUGCAGACACCUGGGGCAACUUUUGUGGUGUGUUUAUGACCAGUGUUGUCAUGCCAAGAAAACCCUUCCGUGAAUAGCUCUUGUAAUUCCUUGACAAAUGGCCUUAACAGUGUUGGCAUUUCGGGUUUAGAACUAAACCAAAGGGAAUGAAGAAGAGCAUACUUUCCACAAAUAAUAGAUGGAAGUUCAUUGACUGUGCAGAUAAUUGGCCAAAUUGAGUAAUUGGAUGUUUUAAAAACUGAAGCCCCAUCAAUAUUAAAUGAAAGUGAAAUGUUGUCAAGGGUACCAACAAAGGUUUUAAGUUUUGAGGUGUACAUACUUCCACUGUAAAUGUCCCCCAUGCCCAUAUUUGUUUUGUUGUCGUUUAAGAACUUGUAGAAAGUAGUGUUUUGGAAGAGCUCCUUCAGUUGUUGCCGUAAGGGCAUUACGAGAAAAUAAUACCCUUCAUUUUUGUUUACUCUUUCAUCAACAUUUCCGUCACUGCAGCAAGGGGUAAACAACUUACCUAUAUAUUGCGAGCAAAUUUUACAGUAAUGGUGAAUUUCGAAUUGUUUUGCCAAAUUAAAGAAAGAUCCUUUUGUAACGUAUGAAGUUAAUUGGCCAAACAAGGGAAGGAUUAUGUCAUGUCCAGGACGGAUUAUAUCAGUCAGUGGUAAGUAACACAAGUUUUUUUCUCCUUUGACUAUGUUUAGAUAAAAUAUGUGCAUAACUACAUGCAUAUGGUAAUAUUUCAAAUAUCACGGUAAACGUUUUAGUUAUAACGGUAGGCACGAUAAGGCCCCCUAGCUCGCGGCCUAUAAUGUGAGGCGCGGGAAGUGUGGGGGAAGUGUGGGGUGCGCGGCCUGGAUUUAUAGAGAGAAACUUUAUUUUGCCCAAAAUAAUACUAGCAUUUUAAACACACAUUAUGAAAACGUCAUAAUUUUGACGUUUUCAGACAACAGAGAGGAGUUAGUUUGCAAGAGGAGGCAUUAUCUUGAUGGUGGAGACAAACUGUCGAGCCCGGAGGAGAAAGGGAAGAGGAAAAGGAAGAAACUGAAGAAUGGUCGAUAUUCUGACGACGAUGACGACGUAGUAUCGCUGGAUCCUCAGUUAAGUCAAUGUAAGAAGAAGAAGAAGAGAAAAAACACAGGUCUUAACGUCUUAAUGGAACUGGAAAAGCAAGGUAUUGGUGCAGUGAUGUACAAAUAUUCACCGUAUGGAAGUGCUUCUUAACAUCAGUGAAUUAUUGUAAUGGGAUGUAGCCUAAUGUUGUCUGUCAUAUUGUACACCAUGGGGUUGCCAACUGGCCUGCUUUGCCUGGCCUAUCAGAUCAUUUUGACUUUUUGCUUUCUGUCAACUUAUUAAGCAUAUUAACAAGAUUAGAUUUGAGUAUUCAUCUCCUGUUCCGCCUGCAUUGUCUACUCGCUCAGGCUCAUCCCCCCUGCUGACCUCUGUUGUACAGUCUUGAUGUAACCCUUAACUCUAUGUACAUCUUCUGUUUGUCAUAGGAUCAUGUCAGCUGAACUCAAUUAAUGAAACCAGGAAUGAAGUAAGAUCCAAUAAUGCAAUAAACUGUCUGCACUUAAUGUUCUACCUACAAUUAAAGUUUUUAUUUCCUAACUCUAUAGUAUAGGGAUAGAUACAGCAAUAUAUUCCUGUAAUCUAUCAGCUGUAAGCUUUGUACCCUCUAACUGGCUUCUGUAUUUGCCCAGGUGUAUGUGAGUCAGUUUUGUUUUUUUAAUGGAAUUUUUAUUUUCAGUGCCAUCACCCGUCUUGUGAGCUGUUGAGGGAGAACAACCACAGGCUGCAGAGGGAAAAUGAUUCUCUCAAGGCAAAAAUAGCAACAUUGAAAUUGCUGCCAGACGUUUUGCAGAAGAUGGAGGAGUUUCUCCGCUCAGCACCAAGACCAACGACAACACCAAUACCAACACCAACACCAAGACCAAGACCAAGACCAGAACCAACACUAUCACCAGCACCAACAGCAGUUCCAGCCCCAGCAACAGAAGACCCAUCACCAGCUUCAGGUCCAUCAUCAGCAUCAGCAACAGAGGCCCUGGGCCACUCUGUCAUUCCAAAAGGACUUGUGGAGCGCUGCUCCUUCUAAAGCCCCCAGAAGUUCAUAAAUGAUCUCCUACAUGGGAUGUAUGCCAGGGAAUAUAUGGCAGGCCAUUCAGUGACUGGCCAGUCAUCCAGCAG
Gadus macrocephalus (Pacific cod) is the source of this 2583-nucleotide RNA transcript. It is a transcript of the gene named protein TonB-like, with no coding region annotated. The transcript has 4 exons. The record is from RefSeq and is a predicted model, not a curated record. Lineage: Eukaryota; Metazoa; Chordata; Actinopteri; Gadiformes; Gadidae.